CGCAAUGGACGAAAGUCUGACGGAGCAACGCCGCGUGAGCGAUGAAGGCCUUCAGGUCGUAAAGCUCUGUUGUUAGGGAAGAACAAGUAUCGGAGUAACUGCCGGUACCUUGACGGUACCUAACCAGAAAGCCACGGCUAACUACGUGCCAGCAG
RNAcentral lists this ribosomal RNA (155 nucleotides) under uncultured Bacillota bacterium. Its description in RNAcentral is "uncultured Firmicutes bacterium partial 16S ribosomal RNA". It matches the Rfam family "Bacterial small subunit ribosomal RNA", at positions 367 to 514 of the family's 1533-position model. The record is from RNAcentral. Lineage: Bacteria; Bacillati; Bacillota.